CAAUGGCGAAGUGCUAAGUCUCUCUCAUUUCGCCCAUCUCCGAUCCUCGUUUUCGGUUUUGGAUCGAAAACAUUAGUUGAUUUCGAUUCUUUCUUAGAGGCUACACGAGCAUGGUGCAAUAUGCAAUUCUUCUGUUCAUGUCAUACAGCAGGUCCAUGUUGUCAUGGCUUUGUUCCUAGGAAGAAAAUACUUGAAUCUUUUCUAUGUGAAAAUAAUCAAAUCGUUUAUGGUGAUUGUGUUUUAAAUUAAAAUUUUAAAAUUUGACACA
Tarenaya hassleriana is the source of this 268-nucleotide long non-coding RNA. RefSeq lists it as uncharacterized. Lineage: Eukaryota; Viridiplantae; Streptophyta; Magnoliopsida; Brassicales; Cleomaceae. The transcript is spliced from 2 exons. The record is from RefSeq and is a predicted model, not a curated record.